GAUGAACGCUAGCUACAGGCUUAACACAUGCAAGUCGAGGGGUAACGAGAGGAAAGCUUGCUUUCCUUGUCGACGACCGGCGCACGGGUGAGUAACGCGUAUCCAACCUGCCCCCAACUAGGGAAUAACCUUGCGAAAGUAAGACUAAUACCCUAUAAUUUCCUCAGAUGUCAUCUGACGAGGAAUAAAGAUUUAUCGGUUGUGGAUGGGGAUGCGUCUGAUUAGCUUGUUGGCGGGGUAACGGCCCACCAAGGCAAAGAUCAGUAGGGGUUCUGAGAGGAAGGUCCCCCACAUGGGAACUGAGACACGGUCCAAACUCCUACGGGAGGCAGCAGUGAGGAAUAUUGGUCAAUGGGCGGAAGCCUGAACCAGCCAAGUAGCGUGCAGGAUGACGGCCCUAUGGGUUGUAAACUGCUUUUAUACAGGAAUAAAGUUAGCCACGUGUGGUUAUUUGUAGGUACUGUAUGAAUAAGGACCGGCUAAUUCCGUGCCAGCCGCCGCGGUAA
RNAcentral lists this ribosomal RNA (506 nucleotides) under uncultured bacterium. RNAcentral's name for it is "partial 16S ribosomal RNA". It matches the Rfam family "Bacterial small subunit ribosomal RNA", at positions 28 to 523 of the family's 1533-position model. The record is from RNAcentral.